UUGGGAGUGAGUGAUAAUUUCACACCCCUAUUGGUAACACUAGUAACGUGCUUAUCGGGUUGCGUCUUGCUUAUUUCAGCUUUGGCGCUUGCAAAUAAAGAGGACCAAGUGACAGCAGCGCCCUCCUUGCACGAAAAGAGUAUUGAAAAAUCCUCUUCAUCUUCCUCCUCCACCUCCUCCUCAUCCUCCUCCGACAGUUCCUCCUCUUCCUCAUCAUCUUCUUCAGAAAGAGGGAAGAAGAAGAAGAAGAAGAAGAAGAAGAAGAAGAAGAAGAAGAAGAAGAGCAACAACAAAAAAGACAGCAAGAAAAAAAAAGGGAAGAAAGGAAACAAAAAGAACACCAAGAUAGGAAAGAGAGUCCUCACCCCAGAAGAGUCCAUGGAUCGCUACAGGCGCGUCUUUGUAGCAGUGAAAAAGGGCAUGACAAAAACUGAGGCACACGUCAAAGUCGGGGUUGACCGAAAAACGGUGGCAGCAACGGCCGCCAUUUCGGAGCUACAGGCUGUUGACAAGGACCUGUAUGACCAGCUGAGGGCAUCAAUGCCCAAGGGAGAGACACUUUAUCUUUUUUCGGCAAAAUGUAAUCUAGAAAUACUUGGCAGGAACCUUCAGGAUAAGGUGAAUGAAAAAAAAAGCAACGGGGAACUUUUGCAAAUUGGACACCGGGCAUAGUAAAGAAGAGAGCAGGUUUUUGUUUUGUUUUUAGGGUGCCUUUUUUUUGUUCCAUUUUAAAAUGCCCUUUUUUUGGUUGAUUUGUUCAGUGACAUCAAGAAAUGCCUUGUUAAAAGUGCAGCCUUUAUUUUUGUUCCAUUUUAAAAAGCCUUUUUUUGUUUCUGUUUGUGUUUUAAAUUGUUAAUAUUUUCUGUAUUACCCCGUUAUUAUGUUAUUAUUAUGUUAAAAAUGUUUAACUAAAGUGGCUGUAGAUCCCUCAUUGUCAUCAACAGUGGUUUGGCGUUUUAUAACUAACCCUAAAGUGCUUCACUACUGGUAAACGAAUGAUUCAAAAAGCUUCACUACUGGUAAACGAAUGGUUGAAAAAGCUUAACUACUGGUGAACAAAUGGUUCGCGAAAGAGUAACAACUCAGUAUGAUGCAUUACUUUACAUGAAGGUACACAAAAAGCUUCACUACUGGUAAACGAAUGAUUAAAAAAGCUUCGCUACUGGUAAACGAAUGGUUGAAAAAGCUUAACUACUGGUGAACGAAUG
Molecule: long non-coding RNA, 1208 nt
Filed under: Gadus morhua (Atlantic cod)
Lineage: Eukaryota; Metazoa; Chordata; Actinopteri; Gadiformes; Gadidae
Description: lncRNA (ENSGMOG00000032910.1)
Source: RNAcentral